This 252-nucleotide ribosomal RNA is filed under the name uncultured bacterium. RNAcentral describes it as "partial 16S ribosomal RNA". It matches the Rfam family "Bacterial small subunit ribosomal RNA", at positions 524 to 776 of the family's 1533-position model. The record is from RNAcentral.
UACGUAGGGUGCAAGCGUUAAUCGGAAUUACUGGGCGUAAAGCGUGCGCAGGCGGUUGUGCAAGACAGAGGUGAAAUCCCGGGCUUAACCUGGGAAUGGCCUUUGUGACUGCACGGCUAGAGUGUGUCAGAGGGGGGUAGAAUUCCACGUGUAGCAGUGAAAUGCGUAGAGAUGUGGAGGAAUACCGAUGGCGAAGGCAGCCCCCUGGGAUAACACUGACGCUCAGGCACGAAAGCGUGGGGAGCAAACAGG